UUAGGAAUCUUCCACAAUGGGCGAAAGCCUGAUGGAGCGACGCCGCGUGAGGGAUGAAGGCCUUAGGGUUGUAAACCUCUAAAAGAGGGACGAUAAUGACGGUACCUCUUGAAUAGCACCGGCUAACUCCGUGCCAGCAGCCGCGGUAAUACGGAGGGUGCAAGCGUUAUCCGGAAUCACUGGGCGUAAAGGGCGCGUAGGCGGUCUGUUAAGUCCGAUGUUAAAUCCCGGGGCUCAACCCCGGACAAGCGUUGGAUACUGGCAGGCUAGACGGUUGGAGAGGCGAGUGGAAUUACCAGUGUAGCGGUGGAAUGCGUAGAUACUGGUAGGAACACCCAUUGCGAAGGCAGCUCGCUGGACAACACGUGACGCUGAGGCGCGAAAGUGUGGGGAGCAAACC
This 400-nucleotide ribosomal RNA is filed under the name uncultured bacterium. RNAcentral describes it as "bacterial SSU rRNA". It matches the Rfam family "Bacterial small subunit ribosomal RNA", at positions 355 to 774 of the family's 1533-position model. The record is from RNAcentral.